This 376-nucleotide ribosomal RNA is filed under the name uncultured bacterium. RNAcentral's name for it is "bacterial SSU rRNA". It matches the Rfam family "Bacterial small subunit ribosomal RNA", at positions 28 to 402 of the family's 1533-position model. The record is from RNAcentral.
GACGAACGCUGGCGGCGUGCUUAACACAUGCAAGUCGAGCGGUAAGGCCCUUUCGGGGGUACACGAGCGGCGAACGGGUGAGUAACACGUGGGUGACCUGCCCUCAGCUCUGGGAUAAGCCUGGGAAACCGGGUCUAAUACCGGAUAUGACUCCAUGACGCAUGUUGUGGGGUGGAAAGCCUUGUGCGGCUGAGGAUGGGCCCGCGGCCUAUCAGCUUGUUGGUGGGGUGAUGGCCUACCAAGGCGACGACGGGUAGCCGGCCUGAGAGGGCGACCGGCCACACUGGGACUGAGACACGGCCCAGACUCCUACGGGAGGCAGCAGGUGGGGAAUCUUGCGCAAGUGGGACGAAAGCCUGACGCAGCGACGCCGCGU